GACGAACGCUGGCGGCGUGCUUAACACAUGCAAGUCGAACGGAAAGGCCCCUUUGGGGGUACUCGCGUGGGGAACGGGCGAGUAACACGUGCGUAACUUGCCCUCGACUUCGGGAUAACUACCUGAAACUGGGGCUAAUACCGGCUAGGAAUCCUCGCUGCAUGGUGGGGGUUGGAAAGCUUUGGCGGUUUUGGGUGGACUGGCGGGUGAUCAGCUUGUUGGUGGGGUAGUGGGUUACCUAGGCUUUGACGGGUAGCCGGCCCGGGAGGGCGACCGGCCACAUUGGGGCUGAGAUUCGGCCCAGACUCCUAACGGGGGCAGCAGUGGGGAAUAUUGCACAAUGGGCGGGAGCCUGAUGCAGCAACGCCGCGGGCGGGAAGGCGGCCUUCGGGUUGUAAACCGGUUUCAGCAGGGGCGAAGCUUGUGGUGACGGUACCUGCAGAAGAAGCACCGGCUAACUACGUG
Molecule: ribosomal RNA, 465 nt
Filed under: uncultured bacterium
Lineage: Bacteria
Description: partial 16S ribosomal RNA
Rfam family: Bacterial small subunit ribosomal RNA
Source: RNAcentral